This 253-nucleotide ribosomal RNA is filed under the name uncultured bacterium. Its description in RNAcentral is "partial 16S ribosomal RNA". It matches the Rfam family "Bacterial small subunit ribosomal RNA", at positions 524 to 776 of the family's 1533-position model. The record is from RNAcentral.
UACGUAGGGUGCAAGCGUUGUCCGGAAUUAUUGGGCGUAAAGAGCUCGUAGGCGGUCUGUCACGUCGGCUGUGAAAACCCGAGGCUCAACCUCGGGCCUGCAGUCGAUACGGGCAAACUAGAGUACUGCAGGGGAGACUGGAAUUCCUGGUGUAGCGGUGAAAUGCGCAGAUAUCAGGAGGAACACCGGUGGCGAAGGCGGGUCUCUGGGCCGAAACUGACGCUGAGGAGCGAAAGCGUGGGGAGCGAACAGG